The sequence is a ribosomal RNA, 553 nucleotides long. The stretch from base 186 to 339 matches the Rfam family "5.8S ribosomal RNA".
CCCUCCGGUAGGUGAACCUGCGGAGGGAUCAUUACCGAGUUAUACAACUCAUCAACCCUGUGAACAUACCUAUAACGUUGCCUCGGCGGGAACAGACGGCCCCGUAACACGGGCCGCCCCCGCCAGAGGACCCCCUAACUCUGUUUCUAUAAUGUUUCUUCUGAGUAAACAAGCAAAUAAAUUAAAACUUUCAACAACGGAUCUCUUGGCUCUGGCAUCGAUGAAGAACGCAGCGAAAUGCGAUAAGUAAUGUGAAUUGCAGAAUUCAGUGAAUCAUCGAAUCUUUGAACGCACAUUGCGCCCGCCAGUAUUCUGGCGGGCAUGCCUGUUCGAGCGUCAUUACAACCCUCAGGCCCCCGGGCCUGGCGUUGGGGAUCGGCGGAAGCCCCCUGCGGGCACAACGCCGUCCCCCAAAUACAGUGGCGGUCCCGCCGCAGCUUCCAUUGCGUAGUAGCUAACACCUCACAACUGGAGAGCGGCGCGGGCACGCCGUAAAACACCCAACUUCUGAAUGUUGACCUCGAAUCAGGUAGGGAAUACCCGCUGAACUUAA